UACGGAGGUUGCAAGCGUUGUUCGGAAUAACUGGGCGUAAAGGGAGCGCAGGCGGCUUGGUAAGUCUAAAGUGAAAUUCCAGGGCUCAACCCUGGACGUGCUUUGGAUACUGCCUGGCUUGAGUACGUGAGAGGAGAUUGGAAUUCCAGGUGUAGCGGUGAAAUGCGUAGAUAUCUGGAGGAACACCGGUGGCGAAAGCGGAUCUCUGGCACGUUACUGACGCUGAGGCUCGAAAGCAUGGGGAGCAAAC
Molecule: ribosomal RNA, 250 nt
Filed under: uncultured bacterium
Lineage: Bacteria
Description: partial 16S ribosomal RNA
Rfam family: Bacterial small subunit ribosomal RNA
Source: RNAcentral